GGAGCCGACCGGGCAGUCGCUGUAUCGAGCGGAUCUUUGUUGUGGAUUCGGUGUCGGUAUAGAGGAAAGUCCGGGCUCCACAGGGCGGGGUGCCAGGUAACGCCUGGGGGAUGCGAGUCUACGGAAAGUGCCACAGAAAAUAUACCGCCCGCUGUUUUGUUUCCCGGUUUUUAUACGGACCUCGAGGAGACAGGCGGGUAAGGGUGAAAUGGUGCGGUAAGAGCGCACCGCACCCCGGGUAAUCGGGGUGGCAGGGUAAACCCCACCUGGAGCAAGACCAAAUAGGGGGGCCGGUUUAUGCCUUGAUGCAUAUAACCAGGCGUGGCCCGCGCCGCUCCCGGGUAGGUCGCUGGAGGUAUGUGGUGAUGCAUGCCCAAGAUGGAUGGCUGUCCCAGACAGAACCCGGCUUAUAGGUCGACUCCCGCG
RNAcentral lists this RNase P RNA (426 nucleotides) under Candidatus Kentrum sp. FW. Its description in RNAcentral is "Candidatus Kentron sp. FW Bacterial RNase P class A". It matches the Rfam family "Bacterial RNase P class A". From Rfam's summary of the family: Ribonuclease P (RNase P) is a ubiquitous endoribonuclease, found in archaea, bacteria and eukarya as well as chloroplasts and mitochondria. The record is from RNAcentral. Lineage: Bacteria; Pseudomonadati; Pseudomonadota; Gammaproteobacteria.